AAAGUCGUAACAAGGUAACCGUAGGUGAACCUGCGGUUGGAUCAUUACAAAGUUUUUGACCUGGGGCCCCUCAAAAGGCCCCGGUCUUCAACCCCUUGUGCAAUCGUAAACUAUUUCUGGGUGUCUUUGGCUCCGCAGCAAUGCGCGAAUCUGGGCACCCGCAAUCCUUGAAAACCCUAUCAAUUGUCUGACAUUAUGAAAAUAAUUAUAAACAACUUUUGACAACGGAUCUCUUGGCUCUC
RNAcentral lists this unclassified non-coding RNA (242 nucleotides) under Chytridiomycota sp. RNAcentral describes it as "partial contains small subunit ribosomal RNA, internal transcribed spacer 1, and 5.8S ribosomal RNA". The stretch from base 1 to 47 matches the Rfam family "Eukaryotic small subunit ribosomal RNA", at positions 1785 to 1831 of the family's 1831-position model. Lineage: Eukaryota; Fungi; Chytridiomycota. The record is from RNAcentral.